UUUGUACAAGGCACUAGGUUGGGAGAGUGGAGAGAUUUGAUCUCUUCAUGCAAAUUAUUAGAGCUCCAUCCUAACAAUCCUAACAAAUGAUGUUUUAGUGACAAUAAAAUCAGUUUGUUAUACGUACUACUAAAAAGGAUCUUACUCUAAAAAUUAAUUAAUCAGCAUCUGUAGGUGCUUCAUCAGCUACCAUUAUUAUUUAGAUUCCAUGUAUUAUUUACUUUUUGUCAUUCUGGCAUUAUAUAUAUAUGGUGAAUUUAACCUUCCAUUAGUCUGAUCAGGCUAAAUAUACAAAUAACAUUUGCUCUAGUCAUCUAUAUCAUUUUUUUUCACGAUUUUGUAGGAAUUAUUUUUCAAUAAGUCUAGCUAGCUAGCUAGCACGUAAAACCUCAUUCCAAUACCAAAGGGAAUGUUUCAUAUAUGGCUCAAAACAUUUAUUUUAAUAUUUGUCUUUAUAGUUUUCCUCAUAUCUCACCUCAAAACUCAUUUUUAACAGAGUUGAGAAAAGUUACGAAACAAAGUAUUUUAUGUGAUGAUGGUCUCUUUUGAUUCUAUUUGAAUCUGUACAUCAGAACUUGUUUUUAAUUAGAUACAUGAUAAUUUGCAUAGUACAUAGUUUACAAGGAAUAGACAGAACACCACAAAAAUGAUACCUGAAAACAAUAUUUAACCAUUUUGACUUUUCUCUUAGUAAAGGUCAGGCUUUCACUGAUAUUUAACAUGGCUUAUGCUGUGAUAAAUACAUAACUAUUCUGAGUUAUGAUUCUAGGCUAAAAGGCAUAAACAGUCUUCAGAAAAUGUACUUUUCAACCUGAAUUAUAUUGUUUAUUUUGACUACACAAAAACUCUGACUUUUUAAGUCAUUAUGUAGUAAGGUAUUCAGUAUAAAUAAUGUACUUUUAAAUGUUUUGCUGUUGAAUCUUUUAAGUUCCAAUCCUGUGUUUAACUGAAGUUGGACAUGAAAUCAGUGUUUGCAAUGUCAUUGAACCACAAAAAUGUGCAACUAAGAGAAAUGACUCUUCACUACCAUUGAAUCUUCUGGAAAACUUUAGUAAAGCAUAUGGCAUGCAUAAGAUACACAAAAAUAGCUGCACAAAAAUGCAACAAAUUAUUUUGUAUGGUAAUAGUGACCUUCAAUAUAGUUAUUUAAUUGUUCAUAUUUACUAUUUAUAAAAUCCCAAACUACAGGAUUUGGGAAAUUUUAAAAACAAAACAAUUAGAGUAUAUAAUGAAUAUAUCUUGUAAAGAAGACUGGCUUGUGGUGAAGACAUUGACUGACUGGAGGUAAUUCCCCCAUUCCCUGAGCCUUUGUGAAGAAAAUACUUUUUGUUCUGUUUUGUAACCUUUCAUAAAAAACUGUGCUGUUUAAGAUAUCUUGGUAAUUAAAAGGUAGAACAGUAUAGGAUUCCUAGAAGAAGUUCUAACAUUGGCUAUUAAAGAACAUUAAAUUAUGUUUUCAACUGUUUAUGAAGAUGAAAAUGCUAAGGGUAAAAGAGACCUUACCCAGUGGGAACUGUUUAAUUGGCUGAAGAAAACUUAAUCAGGGAAGGCAAUAAAUAUUAGUCUUGUGUACCAUGUGAUUAACUCAUCUUUUAACAUUCUCUGAUACAUGUUUUUAGAACAUCACUGACUACCUUGAGAAGAAUGGUUUUGGAGGGAAUCAAAACUAGGAGCCAAGUGGCCAUAUGGGAGGCUGGUGGAGUAAUCUGGGUGAGAUGACAGUGGCUUUGAUUGGGGUUGUAGCAUUGGGGAUGGAAAGAAAAACAUUUCAGGGAAUCUAAGGAAGAAAGGUUAGGAAGACUUGAUGAUUGGUUGGAAAAAG
Molecule: long non-coding RNA, 1822 nt
Filed under: Bos taurus (domestic cattle)
Lineage: Eukaryota; Metazoa; Chordata; Mammalia; Artiodactyla; Bovidae
Description: long non-coding RNA NONBTAT029927
Source: RNAcentral